CCUACGGGUGGCAGCAGUGGGGAAUAUUGGACAAUGGGCGAAAGCCUGAUCCAGCCAUGCCGCGUGUGUGAAGAAGGCCUUCGGGUUGUAAAGCACUUUCAGUGGGGAAGAAAGCCUUGGGGCUAAUACCCUCGAGGAAGGACAUCACCCACAGAAGAAGCACCGGCUAACUCCGUGCCAGCAGCCGCGGUAAUACGGAGUGUGCGAGCGUUAAUCGGAAUUACUGGGCGUAAAGCGCGCGUAGGCGGUCUGAUAAGCCGGUUGUGAAAGCCCCGGGCUCAACCUGGGAACGGCAUCCGGAACUGUCAGGCUAGAGUGCAGGAGAGGAAGGUAGAAUUCCCGGUGUAGCGGUGAAAUGCGUAGAGAUCGGGAGGAAUACCAGUGGCGAAGGCGGCCUUCUGGACUGACACUGACGCUGAGGUGCGAAAGCGUGGGUAGCAAACAGGAUUAGAUACCCCAGUAGUC
This 465-nucleotide ribosomal RNA is filed under the name Vreelandella stevensii. RNAcentral's name for it is "partial 16S ribosomal RNA". It matches the Rfam family "Bacterial small subunit ribosomal RNA", at positions 338 to 795 of the family's 1533-position model. The record is from RNAcentral. Lineage: Bacteria; Pseudomonadati; Pseudomonadota; Gammaproteobacteria; Oceanospirillales; Halomonadaceae.